UCAACCCUUCCAAAUUGCUCCCCAAAUCGAACCCUAAGCAAAUCGAAUCUCACCCCGAGGCCCCCUUCCCCUUCCUCGGCGGCGCCGCCGCCCAGCCACCUGACAUGAGCGCCCUAGCAACCUCCUCAUCCACCGGCGAGCACCCUUCACCGCUUCCUCCUUGACCUCUGCCACAUCGAGUGUCGGCUUCCUUCCCCGACCCAUGUCGCCGCUCCCAGACAACCUCCGCCGCGCCCCCAACGCUGCCUCCCGACACUUUCUCUCCGGGCAGCACCGCGGCCAGCUCCCCCGCCAUCGUCUACUUGCGCGCUUCCUCAAGCAGCGCCGACUCAUCCAGGAGCUCCUCCCGUCAGCAGCACCUCCUCCUCUAGGAGCCUCCUCUACGAACCAGUCCUCCACCAAAUUGGUACGUUCAUGCUUGCAGUGAAUACAUGAGGAGCUGAUGGUUUCUUCUAUCUAUUGGCAGUCUAUCUGUACAUUUACUUGGUGGGGAGUACUCUGUACUCAGCCGUAUGGUUUAUCUUUUGCUUAUGGAUCUGCAAAAACUGGUAUUCCUAGAUUCUUGUAUCUUGAAUUAAUGAAAAAGCAGGGCCGUAUUACGCCAGUUCGCAAAAAAAAUUGUACUUUCAUCUGUAGGGCUAUGUCAAAAUGUGUCAUUUUAGCUUGGAUGCAAUAUAUAAUGUGCAAAAUUCCAGUCACACUGUUUUACUUUUCCCCUGUAGUUUAGUUACAUUUUGGAAUAUACAGGUGCAAUAAUUUUGCUCUACAAUAAGACUGUUGUUUUGUUGCUGAUAAUUAGAACGUUUUGGAUGCUCGUUGUUUAUUUUCUGCAUACAAGUUUGGUGGUAGUGCUGGUUUGUGUGGCUUAGUUUCUGAUGUUUAGAGGGUACCCCUAAAGGGGGACUAACCUGAUACAUGUGGUUGUGUUCUAUUAGUUUUUAGUAAUGGAAAUUGGAGCUAUGCUCCUACGUAGGAUUUUUUUUGGAAAAAUGGUUCAUGAGGCUAGCUGAGUAUUGUGCUCUUUUGUUCUGUAUGUAAUCCUGACAAACAGUUCUCUAAUUUUCACUUGGUGCUUUCACUGAAAUAAACUUUUCAGUUUGUUUGUUCUAUGAGCAGCGUGCAUCUUCUUUGUCCUCUCCACCAAGCAGUGUCGACUACGCCAUCUCCCCCCAGUAAUUGAAACAGAGCUGUUGGUCUGCCUGCCAUAGAACCAUUUAUGAAGAUCAUUGGAGUUGCCUUCUCAUGUAUUCCUAUGCAUAGUCUAGUACAUAUUUCCGUGCGUAAAAAGUUGUUGGUCUUUCUGUAGAUGCACACUAAAAAAAAAAGGGCAACCUGGUGCAUGUAGCUCCCGCUUGCGCAGGGUCCAGGGAAGGGUCCGACCACUUUGGGUCUAUAGUACGCAGCCUUUCCCUACAUUUCUGUAAGAGGCUGUUUCCAGGACUUGAACCCAUGACCUCAUGGUCACAAGGCAGCAGCUUUACCACUGCGCCACUGAAAGUUGAAAAUUAUGCUAGUAGAAAUAGGUGUUCUGGUAUAUCUGACUACUUGCUUUGGAAUAGUUAUUUCUUGAUAUUAUCUGAUCCCAUCUCAUGUAUAUUUCUAGAAAAAGCUUUAUGAACUGAGUUCACUACAACUUGAAGUCUUGUGCAUGGAAGGGAAUUGAGAUAUUUUCUCAUUCUGUACUAGUUAAAAUGUAUCUGUUGAUAUUCUACUCAUUUUGGUUCAUGCCGCUCUUAAUUCUUCUUGUAUGAGCUCUUAUAGUGUUGUAAGGUUGAAGGCUCAAGAUACUACACUUCAGUACACACAUGUUCAUCUUUACUUGAAAUCUAAUUUGCAUGUUGGUUGGUGUUCUUCAAGAAUCAGGGUACUAAUUUGUGAUAUGAUUGGUGAAAGAGGUUGUGGAUGUCACUUCCUUUUUCUUGAACGGUGUCCCUAUUUUGUCCUAUGUACAGACAAAUUUGAUGAUUCUUCACUUUCUGGAAAGUAAACUUAAUACCAGAGGUUGAAAAUGUUCCUGCAAGACUGGUUAAGACACCUUGCUGUAACCAUAUGUGUUGAGCUCACACAGAAGACCUGACAAGCUUUACUCUUUGUGUUUGUUACAUUUUGUACUGCUCGGAUGUCUAGGAACUGAAAAUGCUAAAUUAUGAGGAAGUCUUCAGGUGUACUCAAUUAAUUGUAUACAUUGUAAAAUGUUUGAUGAUGAGAUUUUACAAUAUAUAUGUGAAGUGCAUCUGCAGAAUCCUCUUGCUUUA
Molecule: RNA transcript, 2255 nt
Organism: Triticum dicoccoides
Lineage: Eukaryota; Viridiplantae; Streptophyta; Magnoliopsida; Poales; Poaceae
Exons: 5
Source: RefSeq, a predicted model, not a curated record